Molecule: long non-coding RNA, 483 nt
Filed under: Panax ginseng (ginseng)
Lineage: Eukaryota; Viridiplantae; Streptophyta; Magnoliopsida; Apiales; Araliaceae
Description: long non-coding RNA (PGIN_LNC000880)
Source: RNAcentral
UGGGACGAGUCGGGGAACGGAGUGACGGUCCAGAUGAUAGCAUUAGUAGUUCUCACUAUUCUGUUAAAUAGUGUGAUAAUAAAUGUAACGAGGACUGAAUUUGAGUUUGUAUACUGUCUAUGAGGACUCCAUUGAGAAUGGAUAUUGUCUAGAAGGCAGUAUUCUUGUUUAAACUCUCAGUUUAUGUUUUGUCGUAUUUUACACGACAGCUGUAUAGUUAAAUUUGUAUUUGUAUUGUGUACCAUGUAUUUGGCGACUCAAGAUGGGUGAUUAAUACCUAAUUUUGGGGGUGUCACAGAAACCGCACCGCACGAUUCAAAAUUAAACCGCACCAAUCACAAACGAUUUCAUGUACGAUUUUAAAUUUGUUAAAUCACACUUAAGCAAUUUUGUGUGCGAUUUAAGUUUCAAACCACAUCAAACUGCACUAUUAUCACCCUUAAUUAGACUAGAGUACAACUACUAUUUUCUUUUAGUACCCCA